RNAcentral lists this ribosomal RNA (256 nucleotides) under uncultured bacterium. Its description in RNAcentral is "partial 16S ribosomal RNA". It matches the Rfam family "Bacterial small subunit ribosomal RNA", at positions 524 to 776 of the family's 1533-position model. The record is from RNAcentral.
UACGUAGGUGGCAAGCGUUGUCCGGAAUUAUUGGGCGUAAAGCGCGCGCAGGCGGUCCUUUUAAGUCUGAUGUGAAAGCCCACGGCUCAACCGUGGAGGGUCAUUGGAAACUGGGGGGACUUGAGUGCAGGAGAGAAGAGUGGAAUUCCACGUGUAGCGGUGAAAUGCGUAGAGAUGUGGAGGAACACCAGUGGCGAAGGCGACUCUUUGGCCUGUAACUGACGCUGAGGCGCGAAAGCGUGGGGGAGCAAACAGG